Molecule: unclassified non-coding RNA, 499 nt
Filed under: uncultured Glomus
Lineage: Eukaryota; Fungi; Glomeromycota; Glomeromycetes; Glomerales; Glomeraceae
Description: SSU rRNA
Rfam family: Eukaryotic small subunit ribosomal RNA
Source: RNAcentral
CCAAUAGCGUAUAUUAAAGUUGCUGCAGUUAAAAAGCUCGUAGUUGAAUUUCGGGACUAAUAUGUCGGUCGUGCCUCGGUACGUACUGGUAUUUUUGGUUUCUCCCUUCUGACGAACCUUGAUGUCAUUAAUUUGGUGUCUUGGGAAAUCAGGACUGUUACUUUGAAAAAAUUAGAGUGUUUAAAGCAGGCUCACGCUUGAAUACAUUAGCAUGGAAUAAUGAAAUAGGACGUUUGAUUCUAUUUUGUUGGUUUCUAGGAUAGACGUAAUGAUUAAUAGGGAUAGUUGGGGGCAUUAGUAUUCAAUUGUCAGAGGUGAAAUUCUUGGAUUUAUUGAAGACUAACUACUGCGAAAGCAUUUGCCAAGGAUGUUUUCAUUAAUCAAGAACGAAAGUUAGGGGAUCGAAGACGAUCAGAUACCGUCGUAGUCUUAACCAUAAACUAUGCCGACUAGGGAUCGGAUGAUGUUAAUUUUUUAAUGACUCAUUCGGCGCCUUACG